UUAAGUUAUUAAGGGCGCACGGUGGAUGCCUUGGCACUAGAAGCCGAUGAAGGACGUUACUAACGACGAUAUGCUUUGGGGAGCUGUAAGUAAGCUUUGAUCCAGAGAUUUCCGAAUGGGGAAACCCGGCAUGAGUUAUGUCAUGUUAUCGAUAUGUGAAUACAUAGCAUAUCAGAAGGCACACCCGGAGAACUGAAACAUCUUAGUACCCGGAGGAAGAGAAAGAAAAUUCGAUUCCCUUAGUAGCGGCGAGCGAAACGGGAAGAGCCCAAACCAACAAGCUUGCUUGUUGGGGUUGUAGGACACUCUAUACGGAGUUACAAAGGACGACAUUAGACGAAUCAUCUGGAAAGAUGAAUCAAAGAAGGUAAUAAUCCUGUAGUCGAAAAUGUUGUCUCUCUUGAGUGGAUCCUGAGUACGACGGAGCACGUGAAAUUCCGUCGGAAUCUGGGAGGACCAUCUCCUAAGGCUAAAUACUCUCUAGUGACCGAUAGUGAACCAGUACCGUGAGGGAAAGGUGAAAAGCACCCCGGAAGGGGAGUGAAAUAGAACCUGAAACCGUGUGCUUACAAGUAGUCAGAGCCCGUUAAUGGGUGAUGGCGUGCCUUUUGUAGAAUGAACCGGCGAGUUACGAUUUGAUGCAAGGUUAAGCAGUAAAUGUGGAGCCGUAGCGAAAGCGAGUCUGAAUAGGGCGUUUAGUAUUUGGUCGUAGACCCGAAACCAGGUGAUCUACCCUUGGUCAGGUUGAAGUUCAGGUAACACUGAAUGGAGGACCGAACCGACUUACGUUGAAAAGUGAGCGGAUGAACUGAGGGUAGCGGAGAAAUUCCAAUCGAACCUGGAGAUAGCUGGUUCUCUCCGAAAUAGCUUUAGGGCUAGCCUCAAGUGAUGAUUAUUGGAGGUAGAGCACUGUUUGGACGAGGGGCCCCUCUCGGGUUACCGAAUUCAGACAAACUCCGAAUGCCAAUUAAUUUAACUUGGGAGUCAGAACAUGGGUGAUAAGGUCCGUGUUCGAAAGGGAAACAGCCCAGACCACCAGCUAAGGUCCCAAAAUAUAUGUUAAGUGGAAAAGGAUGUGGCGUUGCCCAGACAACUAGGAUGUUGGCUUAGAAGCAGCCAUCAUUUAAAGAGUGCGUAAUAGCUCACUAGUCGAGUGACACUGCGCCGAAAAUGUACCGGGGCUAAACAUAUUACCGAAGCUGUGGAUUGUCCUUUGGACAAUGGUAGGAGAGCGUUCUAAGGGCGUUGAAGCAUGAUCGUAAGGACAUGUGGAGCGCUUAGAAGUGAGAAUGCCGGUGUGAGUAGCGAAAGACGGGUGAGAAUCCCGUCCACCGAUUGACUAAGGUUUCCAGAGGAAGGCUCGUCCGCUCUGGGUUAGUCGGGUCCUAAGCUGAGGCCGACAGGCGUAGGCGAUGGAUAACAGGUUGAUAUUCCUGUACCACCUAUAAUCGUUUUAAUCGAUGGGGGGACGCAGUAGGAUAGGCGAAGCGUGCGAUUGGAUUGCACGUCUAAGCAGUAAGGCUGAGUAUUAGGCAAAUCCGGUACUCGUUAAGGCUGAGCUGUGAUGGGGAGAAGACAUUGAGUCUUCGAGUCGUUGAUUUCACACUGCCGAGAAAAGCCUCUAGAUAGAAAAUAGGUGCCCGUACCGCAAACCGACACAGGUAGUCAAGAUGAGAAUUCUAAGGUGAGCGAGCGAACUCUCGUUAAGGAACUCGGCAAAAUGACCCCGUAACUUCGGGAGAAGGGGUGCUCUUUAGGGUUAACGCCCAGAAGAGCCGCAGUGAAUAGGCCCAAGCGACUGUUUAUCAAAAACACAGGUCUCUGCUAAACCGUAAGGUGAUGUAUAGGGGCUGACGCCUGCCCGGUGCUGGAAGGUUAAGAGGAGUGGUUAGCUUCUGCGAAGCUACGAAUCGAAGCCCCAGUAAACGGCGGCCGUAACUAUAACGGUCCUAAGGUAGCGAAAUUCCUUGUCGGGUAAGUUCCGACCCGCACGAAAGGCGUAACGAUUUGGGCACUGUCUCAACGAGAGACUCGGUGAAAUCAUAGUACCUGUGAAGAUGCAGGUUACCCGCGACAGGACGGAAAGACCCCGUGGAGCUUUACUGUAGCCUGAUAUUGAAAUUCGGCACAGCUUGUACAGGAUAGGUAGGAGCCUUUGAAACGUGAGCGCUAGCUUACGUGGAGGCGCUGGUGGGAUACUACCCUAGCUGUGUUGGCUUUCUAACCCGCACCACUUAUCGUGGUGGGAGACAGUGUCAGGCGGGCAGUUUGACUGGGGCGGUCGCCUCCUAAAAGGUAACGGAGGCGCUCAAAGGUUCCCUCAGAAUGGUUGGAAAUCAUUCAUAGAGUGUAAAGGCAUAAGGGAGCUUGACUGCGAGACCUACAAGUCGAGCAGGGUCGAAAGACGGACUUAGUGAUCCGGUGGUUCCGCAUGGAAGGGCCAUCGCUCAACGGAUAAAAGCUACCCCGGGGAUAACAGGCUUAUCUCCCCCAAGAGUUCACAUCGACGGGGAGGUUUGGCACCUCGAUGUCGGCUCAUCGCAUCCUGGGGCUGUAGUCGGUCCCAAGGGUUGGGCUGUUCGCCCAUUAAAGCGGUACGCGAGCUGGGUUCAGAACGUCGUGAGACAGUUCGGUCCCUAUCCGUCGUGGGCGUAGGAAAUUUGAGAGGAGCUGUCCUUAGUACGAGAGGACCGGGAUGGACAUACCUCUGGUGUACCAGUUGUCGUGCCAACGGCA
RNAcentral lists this ribosomal RNA (2736 nucleotides) under Staphylococcus aureus VET1025S. RNAcentral describes it as "bacterial LSU rRNA". It matches the Rfam family "Bacterial large subunit ribosomal RNA". Lineage: Bacteria; Bacillati; Bacillota; Bacilli; Caryophanales; Staphylococcaceae. The record is from RNAcentral.